RNAcentral lists this ribosomal RNA (1126 nucleotides) under Pediococcus acidilactici. Its description in RNAcentral is "bacterial SSU rRNA". It matches the Rfam family "Bacterial small subunit ribosomal RNA", at positions 356 to 1486 of the family's 1533-position model. The record is from RNAcentral. Lineage: Bacteria; Bacillati; Bacillota; Bacilli; Lactobacillales; Lactobacillaceae.
GGGGAUUCUUCCCCAAUGGACGCAAGUUUGAUGGAACGCCGCGUGAGAAGAAGGGUUCGGCUCGUAAAGCUGUUGUUAAAGAAGAACGUGGUGAGAGUAACUGUUCACCCAGUGACGGUAUUUAACCAGAAAGCCACGGCUAACUACGUGCCAGCAGCCGCGGUAAUACGUAGGUGGCAAGCGUUAUCCGGAUUUAUUGGGCGUAAAGCGAGCGCAGGCGGUCUUUUAAGUCUAAUGUGAAAGCCUUCGGCUCAACCGAAGAAGUGCAUUGGAAACUGGGAGACUUGAGUGCAGAAGAGGACAGUGGAACUCCAUGUGUAGCGGUGAAAUGCGUAGAUAUAUGGAAGAACACCAGUGGCGAAGGCGGCUGUCUGGUCUGUAACUGACGCUGAGGCUCGAAAGCAUGGGUAGCGAACAGGAUUAGAUACCCUGGUAGUCCAUGCCGUAAACGAUGAUUACUAAGUGUUGGAGGGUUUCCGCCCUUCAGUGCUGCAGCUAACGCAUUAAGUAAUCCGCCUGGGGAGUACGACCGCAAGGUUGAAACUCAAAAGAAUUGACGGGGGCCCGCACAAGCGGUGGAGCAUGUGGUUUAAUUCGAAGCUACGCGAAGAACCUUACCAGGUCUUGACAUCUUCUGCCAACCUAAGAGAUUAGGCGUUCCCUUCGGGGACAGAAUGACAGGUGGUGCAUGGUUGUCGUCAGCUCGUGUCGUGAGAUGUUGGGUUAAGUCCCGCAACGAGCGCAACCCUUAUUACUAGUUGCCAGCAUUCAGUUGGGCACUCUAGUGAGACUGCCGGUGACAAACCGGAGGAAGGUGGGGACGACGUCAAAUCAUCAUGCCCCUUAUGACCUGGGCUACACACGUGCUACAAUGGAUGGUACAACGAGUUGCGAAACCGCGAGGUUUAGCUAAUCUCUUAAAACCAUUCUCAGUUCGGACUGUAGGCUGCAACUCGCCUACACGAAGUCGGAAUCGCUAGUAAUCGCGGAUCAGCAUGCCGCGGUGAAUACGUUCCCGGGCCUUGUACACACCGCCCGUCACACCAUGAGAGUUUGUAACACCCAAAGCCGGUGGGGUAACCUUUUAGGAGCUAGCCGUCUAAGGUGGACAGAUGAUUAGGGAAGU